RNAcentral lists this signal recognition particle RNA (286 nucleotides) under Prolemur simus (greater bamboo lemur). RNAcentral's name for it is "Metazoan signal recognition particle RNA (ENSPSMG00000025899.1)". It matches the Rfam family "Metazoan signal recognition particle RNA". From Rfam's summary of the family: The signal recognition particle (SRP) is a universally conserved ribonucleoprotein. Lineage: Eukaryota; Metazoa; Chordata; Mammalia; Primates; Lemuridae. The record is from Rfam by way of RNAcentral.
GCUGGGCACAGUGGCACACACCUGUAGUUCCCGAUACUCAGGAGGCUAACACGGGAGGAUGGCUCGGGAGCUCUGGGCUGCAGUGCGCUAUGCCGAUCUGGUGUCCACACUAAGUUCUGCAUCAAUAUGGUGACCUUCCAGGUGUGGGAGACCACCAGGUUGCCUAAGGAGGGGUAAAUUGGCCCAGGUUGGAAAUGGAGCAGGUGAAAACUCCUGUGCUGAUCAGUAGGGGGACGGCACCUGUGAGUAGUCACUGCACUCCAGCCCGGUGAAGAUGAUUCCUGUA